CCUACGGGAGGCAGCAGUAGGGAAUCUUUCACAAUGGGCGAAAGCCUGAUGGAGCAACGCCGCGUGCAGGAUGAAGGCCUUCGGGUUGUAAACUGCUUUUAUAAGCGAGAAAUAUGAUGGUAACUUAUGAAUAAGGAUCGGCUAACAACGGGACAGCGGCUGCGGUCAUACGUAGGAUCCGUGCAUUAUCCGGAGUGACUGGGUGUAAAGAGUUGCGUAGGUGGCGUAAUAAGUAGCUAGUGAAAGCUGGUGGCUCAACCAUUCAGACUAUUAGCUAAACUGUUAAGCUCGAGACCGUUGGGGGAAAGGGGAAUGUGUGGUGUAGGAGUGAAAUGCGUAGAUAUUA
RNAcentral lists this ribosomal RNA (346 nucleotides) under uncultured bacterium. RNAcentral describes it as "partial 16S ribosomal RNA". It matches the Rfam family "Bacterial small subunit ribosomal RNA", at positions 338 to 699 of the family's 1533-position model. The record is from RNAcentral.